Molecule: long non-coding RNA, 636 nt
Organism: Homo sapiens (human)
Lineage: Eukaryota; Metazoa; Chordata; Mammalia; Primates; Hominidae
Exons: 2
Source: RefSeq, a predicted model, not a curated record
CCACGCCACCGUAUAUCAGGGGCGAGCGGAGGAUCGUGUACUGCUGGUCCAGCUGCCGAACCUGCUCUAGCUCAGUGCCCUCGAACGAUGUUUUCAGAUCAGUUCCUACAAGAGGAGCCACAUUUUGUUAAGUGGCCUUCGACUUCAUUGUAUGGAUGGAUUUGUCUAUUCAACCAGGACCUUACUGAUAGAUAUUUGGACUGAAAGGAACCCACAAAUGGCACGAGGCAGAGGAAGCCAACAGGCCAACAGACUGAAGAUCUUCUUGUCCGAGGUCAGCUUUUAUUUGUUACUGACAGAGGCCCCAAAUCCUUCUUAGGUGUCCUUCUGGGAGAGGGUCUCCUGCCAUUCCCGUGGUGUUCAGGGAUGAGCAUGAAGAGAAAUACAAAUGAACCGAGAGCAGGACCACCAGGUUCAAGUCCCCGCUUUUUACUGCCUUGUCAUCUUGGCCAAGCCAUUCAGUCCUUCUAAGCCUCAGACAAUAUGACAAAUGAAGCUAAGUCUGCCAAUCUUCACCCACAGGGAUGUGGGGAGGCUCAAAUGAAAGCAACCGUGUGAUACUGUGGGAAGUUAACAACAACAACAAAAAAGCAAGUAUGUGAAAAUACUCUAAAAAUAAAAUAAUGUACAAAUGGA